GUGCGAUCGUAGUACAGGUGUACGGCGAUGGGGCGGAUGUUGCGUGGCGUAUGCCUAUGUCUUGUCGUACUCCUUUUGUUUGCCACUAAGCUCUGUUCUUCCAGGAGUCUGGAAACGAACAAUGAAUCUGAUCGCCAGCAACUCAAGCUACCAGCACGUUCGAAGCCACAGAACUGCAGCCACAGAGGCCAGAGCAUAUGCCAGAAGUAUGGAAAAAUAUGCGUCUCUUAUGAUGGCGGAGAAGUAUGCAUAGAACGAUCAAAGCCGCAGAAAUGCAGCGAGAGAGGGCAAAGUGUAUGCCAAAAAUAUGGAACAAAAUGUGUAUCUUAUGACGGCGGAGAAGUCUGCGUGGAUACAUAGGCACAGCUGUGGUACAGGUCUUUGUAGCUCAAAUAAAAACAGAAAUUUACGACACAGUGAAAAA
Long non-coding RNA from Rhipicephalus microplus (southern cattle tick), 424 nucleotides. Lineage: Eukaryota; Metazoa; Arthropoda; Arachnida; Ixodida; Ixodidae. The record is from RefSeq and is a predicted model, not a curated record.